GGGCGAUUAGCUCAGCGGGAGAGCACUGCCUUCACACGGCAGGGGUCGCUGGUUCGAUCCCAGCAUUGCCCACCA
This 75-nucleotide transfer RNA is filed under the name Gammaproteobacteria bacterium. Its description in RNAcentral is "tRNA-Val". It matches the Rfam family "tRNA". Rfam says of the family: Transfer RNA (tRNA) molecules are approximately 80 nucleotides in length. Lineage: Bacteria; Pseudomonadati; Pseudomonadota; Gammaproteobacteria. The record is from RNAcentral.